GUGGUCGGAAUUUUGCAUAAUUGAGGUCAAAGGUCAACAAUUGAAUAUUACAAAAUUUUGUCUUUACUGUCUAUUUUGAGCUAAACUUAGGAACAUAAAACAUAUUAAACAAUCAGGGGACAAUAUUUCAUUCAACAUAUAUGGAGCCUGUUGGGCAUACCAUUUUUUUUCUAAAUACGUCAUUUUUAACGUUAAAAUUGACGUUUUUCGUUAUAUGAUACAUUUUGUUUAUUUAUGACUUCAUUUAGUUUCCAUACAAGGAUGACCUUGAACUUUGGUAAUAUUUUUUUCCCAUAAAAAUGAAGUCUUAAGACGACUUGCUACUAUACAAAAGUUUAAAGUCAGGUAAAGGGGGAUAAAAGUUAAUUUCAUUGAUUUCAGUUUCAAUGGUCAUGAUGGUUAUUUCAGUAAAUUUUUUACAUUUUUUUUGCAGACAAAAGCUGUCAUUAAUAUUUUUGUUGUACAAUCAAAAUGUAUUCAUAUAAGGUUUAUAAAAUAUGUUAGCAUCAUAUCAACGUUUUUUUUGACGUUUUUUAACAUUAGGAAUGCC
Molecule: long non-coding RNA, 550 nt
Filed under: Mytilus galloprovincialis (Mediterranean mussel)
Lineage: Eukaryota; Metazoa; Mollusca; Bivalvia; Mytilida; Mytilidae
Source: RNAcentral